Arachis ipaensis is the source of this 725-nucleotide non-coding RNA. The record is from RefSeq and is a predicted model, not a curated record. Lineage: Eukaryota; Viridiplantae; Streptophyta; Magnoliopsida; Fabales; Fabaceae.
ACGUAAAACGUUAACUCGCACACGUGACCGUUGUGUUUAUUUGUGCGAGAUGGACAAUUCAGUCUUGAACUCAUUUACGAAAACGACGCCAUUUUUAAACCCAUUUCUCACUCCGUCUCUAAGCUUGCUACGAUAAUGGAGAAUGAGAAACCCUAGUUCCUUCCUUAAGAUUGCCCCUGUUUCAAUGGCUAAUAGUGGACAACAUUCAACCUAUUCCAACCGCUAUAGAGGGAGGGUCAGCCACAAUAUUGCCGAUAACAAGGGGUUAAUUAAGCAAGGGACAACAUCCGAAGUUCCUUUGUGAGUUAUAUGCAAUUAUCACCAAAUCAAGCAUGGUGGAGAAUCUCAGAAAGUUGUUAUUUGGGUGUCCAAUGUAUAAGGAAAAGAAACCUCACUGCAACUUCUUUACUUGGUUUGACAUGGUCUUUGACAUCAGUCACAAGAAUGAUGCCAUGGAUGAUGUUGUUGAUGUUGAUCAACUGGAUGUUGUGGUUCUUGGAUUCUAAGAGAAAAUGAUGGAUAGCUGCAGAAGAGGGUAGUUGUAUUAGAGAAUUCUCAAAAAAAAAGUAGUAAAUAGAAAUUGAGAAAAUAGAUUCGGCAAUGUGGUUCUCUGUGUUAGUUUGUGUUUUUAAUUUGUUGUGAAUUACUUUUCACAAUGAUAGACUUGUUAUGUUAACUCCAAAUUUAUGAAUGAAUGAGUGAAUAAAAUUUUUGUUGUUGUUUUA